Molecule: ribosomal RNA, 207 nt
Filed under: uncultured bacterium
Lineage: Bacteria
Description: partial 16S ribosomal RNA
Rfam family: Bacterial small subunit ribosomal RNA
Source: RNAcentral
CGCGUAGGCGGGUCAGCAAGUCUGGGGUGAAAUCUUUCGGCUCAACCGGAAAAGUGCCUUGGAUACUGCUGGUCUCAAGGGAGGUAGGGGUCUGUGGAACUUCUGGUGGAGCGGUGAAAUGCGUUGAUAUCAGAAGGAACGCCGGUGGCGAAAGCGACGGACUGGAUCUCUUCUGACGCUGAGGCGCGAAAGCUAGGGGAGCAAACG